Molecule: transfer RNA, 73 nt
Filed under: Bacillota bacterium
Lineage: Bacteria; Bacillati; Bacillota
Description: tRNA-Arg
Rfam family: tRNA
About the family: Transfer RNA (tRNA) molecules are approximately 80 nucleotides in length. Their secondary structure includes four short double-helical elements and three loops (D, anti-codon, and T loops). Further hydrogen bonds mediate the characteristic L-shaped molecular structure. tRNAs have two regions of fundamental functional importance: the anti-codon, which is responsible for specific mRNA codon recognition, and the 3' end, to which the tRNAs corresponding amino acid is attached (by aminoacyl-tRNA synthetases). tRNAs cope with the degeneracy of the genetic code in two manners: having more than one tRNA (with a specific anti-codon) for a particular amino acid; and 'wobble' base-pairing, i.e. permitting non-standard base-pairing at the 3rd anti-codon position.
Source: RNAcentral
GCGCCCGUAGCUCAAUGGAUAGAGCAGGAGACUCCUAAGCUCAAGGUUGUAGGUUCGAUUCCUACCGGGCGCG